This is a long non-coding RNA of Hyla sarda, 287 nucleotides long. RefSeq lists it as uncharacterized. The transcript is spliced from 3 exons. Lineage: Eukaryota; Metazoa; Chordata; Amphibia; Anura; Hylidae. The record is from RefSeq and is a predicted model, not a curated record.
CAGGGAUGUCCAUGUGCGUCGUCAGGGCCUCCUGGUCAAGAUGGACAGCCCGGAACGACUAACCCUCCCCACCGGACGGUCCUUGCAGCAUAGAUGGCCCGGACCAGCUCCCCCUUCCUUCCCACCGAGGGGAUAGCCUCCAUUCAUAUAACAGAACCUGAGGAGCCUCACAACAGUCAAAUCUAAAAGUUUCCUUAGGAGACGAGAUCUACCAUGACAAUUAUCUGGAUGGCUCAGCUGCGGAGGGGAGCGAUUGAUAGAAACAGCAAAGCAGGGGAGGCAGCAAG